RNAcentral lists this non-coding RNA (115 nucleotides) under Aeromicrobium sp. Root472D3. Its description in RNAcentral is "SAM riboswitch aptamer (S box leader)". It matches the Rfam family "SAM riboswitch aptamer (S box leader)". From Rfam's summary of the family: The SAM riboswitch is found upstream of a number of genes which code for proteins involved in methionine or cysteine biosynthesis in Gram-positive bacteria. RNAcentral also lists the same sequence under 1 other name. Lineage: Bacteria; Bacillati; Actinomycetota; Actinomycetes; Propionibacteriales; Nocardioidaceae. The record is from Rfam by way of RNAcentral.
AACUCAUCCAGAGGGGUACAGGGACACGGCCCGACGACACCCCAGCAACCAGUCGCACGAUGCGACCAGGUGCUCAAUCCGUCCCGGGCGACAGUCGAUCCGGGGAAGAUGACCA